CCUACGGUGGGCAGCAGUGAGGAAUAUUGGUCAAUGGUCGGGAGCCUGAACCAGCCAAGCCGCGUGAGGGAUGAAGGUACAGCGUAUCGUAAACCUCUUUUGUCAGGGAACAAAGGCGGGGACGUGUCCCCGGCUGAGUGUACCUGAAGAAAAAGCAUCGGCUAACUCCGUGCCAGCAGCCGCGGUAAUACGGAGGAUGCGAGCGUUAUCCGGAUUUAUUGGGUUUAAAGGGUGCGCAGGCGGUCUGUUAAGUCAGCGGUAAAAGCCCGUGGCUCAACCCCGGCCCGCCGUUGAAACUGGCAGUCUGGAGUGGGAGAGAAGUAGGCGGAAUGCGCGGUGUAGCGGUGAAAUGCUUAGAUAGCGCGAAGAACUCCGAUUGCGAAGGCAGCAUGCCGGCUCCAAACUGACGCUGGGGCACGAAAGCGUGGGUAUCGAACAGGAUUAGAUACCCGUGUAGUC
Molecule: ribosomal RNA, 459 nt
Filed under: uncultured bacterium
Lineage: Bacteria
Description: partial 16S ribosomal RNA
Rfam family: Bacterial small subunit ribosomal RNA
Source: RNAcentral